GAGAAGUCUGGCUGCCUACAUCCUGGAGACCCAAAGCAACUGAGACAAUGUGCCUACGAUGUCUUUGAGCCAGCCAUAUGGCACUCCUUUGUCACAGGGCUUAAGAAUCCCCCAGAGCACCUGGAAGAGGAGACUGGUUAAUGCAGAUGGCUACUCUCCAAGUGACGGCAGCAACGUGUCUGGGUGGUAAUGAAAAUGAUUUUGAAAAAGAAGGUGGAAACUCUUCUUGGCUUGCUUUCCUGCUUACUCUCUGUGAAACUUGUCUUGCUUUUGCGUUUUUUCUGGAAGCUGCCACAUCAUGGAAUUGUGCCUUCUGGGUCAGAGAUGAAAGGAACUGGCCAGUAAGAGCCUGUGGAAYUGAAACAAUUUUUUCCAAAGGGACUCUAAAAUCCCAGGAGAAUUCCUCUAAACAUCUGUUCUGGCUUCACUAG
This 431-nucleotide long non-coding RNA is filed under the name Dromaius novaehollandiae (emu). Its description in RNAcentral is "lncRNA (ENSDNVG00000001022.1)". Lineage: Eukaryota; Metazoa; Chordata; Aves; Casuariiformes; Dromaiidae. The record is from RNAcentral.